This 303-nucleotide ribosomal RNA is filed under the name uncultured bacterium. RNAcentral describes it as "bacterial SSU rRNA". It matches the Rfam family "Bacterial small subunit ribosomal RNA", at positions 28 to 326 of the family's 1533-position model. The record is from RNAcentral.
GAUGAACGCUAGCGGCAGGCUUAAUACAUGCAAGUCGUGGGGCAGCAUGAGUAGCAAUACUUGAUGGCGACCGGCAAACGGGUGAGGAACACGUACACAACCUUCCUUCAAGCGGGGAAUAGCCCAGAGAAAUUUGGAUUAAUACCCCAUAAUAUAUUUGAUAAGGCAUCUUAUUAAAUAUUAAAGCUUCGGCACUUGAUGAUGGGUGUGCGGCUGAUUAGAUAGUUGGCGGGGUAACGGCCCACCAAGUCUACGAUCAGUAGCUGAUGUGAGAGCAUGAUCAGCCACACGGGCACUGAGACA